Rattus norvegicus (Norway rat) is the source of this 107-nucleotide small nuclear RNA. The record is from Ensembl. Lineage: Eukaryota; Metazoa; Chordata; Mammalia; Rodentia; Muridae.
AUACUCGUUUUGGCAGUACAUAUACUAAAAUUGGAACAAUACAGAGGAGAUGAGCAUGGCCCCUGCGCAAGGAUAACAUGCAAAUUCGUGAAGUGUUUCAUAUGUCU